RNAcentral lists this ribosomal RNA (425 nucleotides) under Staphylococcus aureus. Its description in RNAcentral is "bacterial SSU rRNA". It matches the Rfam family "Bacterial small subunit ribosomal RNA", at positions 108 to 520 of the family's 1533-position model. The record is from RNAcentral. Lineage: Bacteria; Bacillati; Bacillota; Bacilli; Caryophanales; Staphylococcaceae.
GAGUAACACGUGGAUAACCUACCUAUAAGACUGGGAUAACUUCGGGAAACCGGAGCUAAUACCGGAUAAUAUUUUGAACCGCAUGGUUCAAAAGUGAAAGACGGUCUUGCUGUCACUUAUAGAUGGAUCCGCGCUGCAUUAGCUAGUUGGUAAGGUAACGGCUUACCAAGGCAACGAUGCAUAGCCGACCUGAGAGGGUGAUCGGCCACACUGGAACUGAGACACGGUCCAGACUCCUACGGGAGGCAGCAGUAGGGAAUCUUCCGCAAUGGGCGAAAGCCUGACGGAGCAACGCCGCGUGAGUGAUGAAGGUCUUCGGAUCGUAAAACUCUGUUAUUAGGGAAGAACAUAUGUGUAAGUAACUGUGCACAUCUUGACGGUACCUAAUCAGAAAGCCACGGCUAACUACGUGCCAGCAGCCGCGG